Mytilus californianus (California mussel) is the source of this 2339-nucleotide long non-coding RNA. RefSeq lists it as uncharacterized. The record is from RefSeq and is a predicted model, not a curated record. NCBI's taxonomy places the organism in Eukaryota, Metazoa, Mollusca, Bivalvia, Mytilida, Mytilidae. The transcript is spliced from 4 exons.
UUCAUGUGAUCUACGAUUGUAACUUUCCAUUUUGGUCCUGGCUAAAAUCUAGAUCACUGAAAGAAGAAUUAGUAAACUGUUUGGAUCGCAAUAAUGUUCAAAUGUCAAGUCUUCAAGCAAGCGAUUUUGAAAAUUGUACCUAUUCAACAACUCAUCUGACUUAUGCACAGGAAGAAUCUACUACAUCAGGAGUAACAACAGAAAUAACAGCAUUUUCAAAAGAAGAUGGAUACAAAAGAAGUACUAGCGAAAAUCGAUGUUGAAGAAUUGUCACGAAAAUUCAAAUCAAAGAAAUUCAGCAGUUUAUGAAAAUGAAAUCCAAUUAGAUCAUCAAGCCUAUCAGGAUCUGACUCUGGUCAGAAGAGACAAUCUUUCACCAUAUGAUGUCGUACACAUUGCCAAUGUGUAAUAGAGAUAUAUAGUCAAGCAACAAUUUUAUUUCUAAUCAAAUGUUUUGUAUACGUUAAAGUAUAGUAGAAUUAAGACGUUGAAAAGGGCAGGGGUAAACUGGUUCAUAUCCGUCCGUCCUUCGUCCGUCCGUACCAUGCAACUGGUAUGAGCAUGAUUUUCUUAUCCCAGACAUAUAACCUAAGCCGUAUUUGGGACAACUUUUUGGAACUUUUGGUCCUCAAUGCUCUUCAACUUUGUACUUGUUUUGGCUUUCGUACUUUUUUAUCUGAGCGUCACUGGUUUGUCUUGUGUGGACGAAACGCGCGUCUUGCGUAUUUUAAACCUGGUAUCUUUUGUUAACUAUUAUUCGUAUGUUUCUCUGUCCUUUAUGUUCUCCCAUUAUUUGUAUUGUAGUCCUGUCAUGUAAUGUUGUCAUUGUAAUGUUAUAUUUAACAUUGCCAUCAAAGCAGGAGGUUUGGCUAGUCACAAAACCAGGUUCAACCCACCAUUUUUUUCUUAAAAGUAUCCUGUACCAAGUCAGGAAAAUGGCAAUUGUUAUCGUAUAGCGUAUAGUUUGUUUCUGUGUUUGUGGCAUUGUCGGUUGUUUGUUCACUUCAGUGUUUCUGUUGUUUCGUUGUCCAUAUGUACUAUAUUGUAUUGUUUAUUUGCGUUAUUCUCUGUCCGUAAUGUUGUACUGUAUUCAUGUCAUGUAAUGAUGUCAUUUAGUGUUAUAUUUAACAUUGCCAUAAAAGUGCGAGGUUUGGCUAGCCACAAAACCAGGUUCAACCUACUAUUUUUUUCUUAAAAUGUCCUGUUCCAAGUCAGGAAAAUGGCCAUUGUUAUAUUGUAGUUCGUUUCUGUGUGUGUUACAUUUUAAUGUUGUGUUUCUGUUGUGUCGUAGUUCUCCUCUUAUAUUUGAUGUGUUUCCCUCAGUUUUAGUUUGUAACCCGGAUUUGUUUUUUUCUCAAUCUAUUUAUGAAUUUCGAACAGCGGUAUACUACUGUUGCCUUUAUUUACUGUAUGAUACGUUUUCAUAAUUAUCACUCAAUAAUAUAACUUCCUGUUUACCGUGACUGAGCAGUCAAAUAUAUUCCUACACAUAUAUGCAAUGUUUGUCACAUUUUUCUAUAGAACUACAAAUUUGCAAAUAUGCUUUAUAUGAGCAUGCUAUCCCUAGUAUUGCAUUCUCACAUCCAUUGCUCGUCAACUAACUGUUUACCGGAUGCUUAUAGAGGGUAUCAUUGUCGAGCAAUAGGUUACAGUUCAACAUUUUCUUUCGAAAUUAUAAGCGGACAUAUCAUUUACAUUAAAGAAAUAAUCACAAUCUGUUCUGUCUUAGACGCGCAAUUUUUUUGGGGAAACGUGACAUAAAACAAAUCUCCAUUACAGACAGCAUUGUUCAAAGUAAUGACUUACGAUUUUAAACAGUUUUAAACAGUUAAAAGAUUAGAUGCCGUAAGGAAUAUAGAAGAGAAAAAUAUCAAAUUGUCUCUCCUCGACGAAAUCGCAAAAGCGAGACUCAGGCAUGCUGUGGCAGGUGGCAAUGUAUUCAAUAAUGUACAUGCAUUAGUUUGUGAUUAUGCCAGUUUAAAAAGAUCAUCUAGUGAUAGUAAUCUUAAGUUGUAUAAUCAUUGGCACAUCUCAUUUCCAUGGAGAUUAUUUGGCCCCGCCCCCUUAGGUAUGGUCUAUUGACUUUGAAACUUUUCCUUAGCUUAGAAGUUAAUGUUUGUGAUUCGGUCAGUUUACCGGGAACAACUUGUAAUAAGUCAAUAGUCAUUGGUAUGUUGCUAUAUUAGCAUGUACUUAUAUCAAGGAGGUUAUUUGGACCUUCAUCUACAGUCAUUGUUCAUUGACUUUAAAUUUUAUGGAUAGCUAAGAUCCUAAAGUAUUGCCAUUAUAGUUUUAACCGUAGCAUUUUACUAUCAAAAUUAAAUAAAAACGUGACAUAU